This is a long non-coding RNA of Ursus maritimus (polar bear), 2791 nucleotides long. The record is from Ensembl. NCBI's taxonomy places the organism in Eukaryota, Metazoa, Chordata, Mammalia, Carnivora, Ursidae.
GAGGAGUCCUCAUGGAUGCUCACGUGGUUCCUGAUGUGAAGACUAGAGCCAUCAAGGGGAAGGAGAGGGGACUAAGACACAGCCUUGAGUCCUCCAUUUGUACUUUUGCCCUGAGCUCUGCAAAUGGCCGGAGUAGGCCUGUAGGCAGAGAGGGUGUGAGGGGAUCCCCACAAAUGUGCAGGUUAAUUAAUUUGAUUUUGAUAGAACACCUUAACAUGGCAGCUCUCUGGUGGUCAGUCUCAUGCAAACCCACCUCUCAAGUAAGUGAUCGUACAAACCAAAGGCCAGUUCACUUACAAUGAGAACCAAAGCUGCCGGCCUGACUGGGAUGUUUCAGCCAGUUGAUCAAAUAUUUGUUCCCUAUAGGAAAUUCUAUAUGGAAAACCUGAUUCUAAUCAGCCAUGUUCUUGGCAAACAUGGAUUCAGAGGAAGGGGAGUCAAGAGCAAGGCCUGUGCUUCAGGCUGGUCUUCUCAGACAGCCGUCUCCGGGUUUGCGGAUACACCUGCUACGUGCACCCCGUGCUUACAAUGACAGCUUCUCCUAAGAACAAGGCGAAACACUCACAAUGUUUUGAUCUUUGGAUCCUCCGUAGACCACCCCGAUUUGCUUUAAAAGCAUCAGAGAGGAUUACAUGAAGACCCAGAGACAUCAGGACGCACAUGUCCGUCUCGGUGUGUUCGGUGCUUCUGAGGACACGUGUGAGCGCAUGAUGCGUGCGUGUGGCUGCGCAGGCUUGGGUCCCUCCGGCUCGGUACUCAGGGCAUCUGCACAGAGCCUGGGAGGCAACCCGCAGGCCGCUGCUGGUCUCUUCUCCGCCGUGAUGCAGGAAGGAGGAGGAGGAGGAGGACACAUGCAUAAGGGGCCUGAAGUUAUACACCAGAUGCCUUACCUGACACUUGAAGACUGGGGCAAGGCUGCUCCAAACAAAAGUACCAAAGCUCUGAGCCAGAGAGUUCUCUGAACACAAAGGCGUUGCAACAGAGAACUGUAUAACGGGGCAGGAGGGUCAGCAGCAGACGGAUGCCCCCGCCCACAGCCCAGGCUAACCAGAUCCCUUACCUUCCUCCGGGAUGGAGAUGCCAAUAGCACUCGCUUCAGCCAGGUAAACGCCGAUUCUAAACCCAGCCAUCUCCAGUCUCCGGGUGGGGUUGGAAAUGUGUGCCUGGGGAGAGCGAUCCCAAGCCCUGGACUGAGGGAGCGCUCCUGACCUGCGCACCAGGGACCCCGCCAGCCAGUUCUACGGCACCUGUGGCUCAGCUCGGGGCUCCUUGCCGUUCAGUCCAUACUCCAGGGCCCUCCAGGUCAAGAAGACAAAUGGAGAAAGAAGAUAGUUCGGUGAUUACUGUUGCCCAGGCCACCCAUGGAUCUGUUCGGAAUAUCAAAAACCUGUUGAAAACCCAGAGUGGCAGUGAGUGCAACGAACAUCAUAAUGGAAUAGAAAUCAGCCAGGUCUCUAGGCAUCAACUAGUUACUGUCUGCUACAGAGCAAAAGCUCCAUCCUAGUUUGUUAAUAACAUUGAAACCACUUAAGCUUUUUGGGCCUCUGUGGCUCUAUAUUAAAAAUAAGGAGGUUGAGGUGAUGCGUAAUAAUGGUGCUAACAUUUAUUGAGCACUUACUAUGUGCCGGGCACGGUUGUGAACUAAAUAUUUUAGUUGUCACAAAAACCAUAAUCUCUCCUUUCAAGAUAGAAGGAAAUCAAAGCACAGAGAGCUUUCUCAUUUGGUAAGAGGCAGAACUUGGAUUCAAAACUCCUCAGCCCCUGUGUUUACCCAUUAUGCCUGCCUUGACUUCUAGCAUAUACUAUUCUUCUCGUUCUGUUGUUUUUAUCAGUAGGAAGAUGUUUAAUCUCUCGUUCUAAUGCUCUAUAUUUGACUUCUCAUAGAUCAGUCCUCUAUGUACCCAUCAGCACCUGAGCCUCCAAGCAUCACUGAACAGCCUAUAAUUAUAAUUCAGAUAUGAGAAGCUAGGAAUUUUGUACCCAUCUGUGGGUAAAAUAUGAAGUGGAGAAGGACAGUAUAUCGGAUGACAGAAUCACCAACCAAACAUGCUAACAAGCCCCAUCGGGAGCAGAUGUCACCAGAGUCAAGGACUAGGGACACACAGCCGUGUGCUGUAGGACCAACGCUCUGAAACAGAAAAGCCGCAGUCGGUCAUUCCGUGAGGCCCGUCAUGGGUGGAGGGCUGAUGUGUGCAGACGAGCCGCAGUCCCGUGGGCGGAAACACAGGCCUCGGAUUCAGAUGACUGAGUAUGGGUCCUCCUGGUUGCACGCCAUAGGCAAGCUUGUUUUCCUCACUGAAUCUGCCUCCACUUCUGUAAAAUGGGGAUGUGUCAAGUACCUCACAGGCCUGUCCUAAGAAUUGAAUGGGGUGCAGAAAGGAUGAAUGCCAACCAUUUACAUCCCCAUGGAUGGAACUGGAGGGCAAUAUGCUAAGUGAAAUAAGUCAAGCAGAGAAAGCCAAUUAUCAUAUGGUUUCACUCAUAUGUGGAAUAUAACGAACAGUGCAGAGGACCACAGGGGAAGGGAGGGAAAACUGAAUGGGAAGAAAUCAGAGAGGGAGAAAAACCAUGAGAGACUCUGGACUCCAGGAAACAAACUGAGGGUUCCAGAAGGGAGGGGGUGGGGGGAUGAGGUAACAGGGUGAUGGGUAUUAAGGAGGGCACACAAUGUGAUGAGCAGUGGGUGUUAUACACAACUAAUGAAUCAUUGAACACAACAUCAAAAACUAAUGAUGUACUGUAUGUUGGCUAAUUAAAUUUAAAUAAAUUUAAAAAAACUGAAUGGAUGACA